Molecule: ribosomal RNA, 460 nt
Filed under: uncultured bacterium
Lineage: Bacteria
Description: partial 16S ribosomal RNA
Rfam family: Bacterial small subunit ribosomal RNA
Source: RNAcentral
CCUACGGGAGGCAGCAGUGAGGAAUAUUGGUCAAUGGGCUUACGCCUGAACCAGCCAAGUCGCGUGAGGGAAGACUGCCCUAUGGGUUGUAAACCUCUUUUGUCAGGGAGCAAUUGGCGCUACGUGUAGCGUUAUCGAGAGUACCUGAAGAAAAAGCAUCGGCUAACUCCGUGCCAGCAGCCGCGGUAAUACGGAGGAUGCGAGCGUUAUCCGGAUUGAUUGGGUUUAAAGGGUGCGUAGGCGGAAUGCCAAGUCAGCGGUAAAAUCGCGGGGCUCAACCUCGCUCCGCCGUUGAAACUGGCGUUCUUGAGUGGGCGAGAAGUAUGCGGAAUGCGUGGUGUAGCGGUGAAAUGCAUAGAUAUCACGCAGAACUCCGAUUGCGAAGGCAGCAUACCGGCGCCCAACUGACGCCGAGGCACGAAAGCGUGGGUAUCGAACAGGAUUAGAUACCCUUGUAGUC